GGGGAUCGAUCGGGAGAAGGAAAAUGUACAGUCAACCGUGAAAUUAGCAUUGGGGACCGCUAAGGCCUCUGAAUUGUAGGGGAGCCAAAGUUAGAUUAAGCACACCCUAGAAAAUCUAUUGCUAUAGUGGGCUUUAUUUUGAUUAUUUUUGUAGUCCAACCAAAUUGCUAGCCUACAUGUGGCUCAGUCUCUCUUUCCAUUGACUCUUCCAAUCCCAUACAAACAGAUGUAGGGCGAUGGGCUGACCGCUAAAGAUUCAUUUCCAUCUUUGUAUACCUAUAAAAUU
RNAcentral lists this long non-coding RNA (286 nucleotides) under Setaria viridis. RNAcentral describes it as "long non-coding RNA (SVIR_LNC004161)". Lineage: Eukaryota; Viridiplantae; Streptophyta; Magnoliopsida; Poales; Poaceae. The record is from RNAcentral.